RNAcentral lists this transfer RNA (74 nucleotides) under unidentified. RNAcentral's name for it is "Enteromius cf. bifrenatus 'Kalungwishi' tRNA-Ile". It matches the Rfam family "tRNA". Rfam says of the family: Transfer RNA (tRNA) molecules are approximately 80 nucleotides in length. The record is from RNAcentral.
AGGAACUGUGCCUGAAUGUCCAAGGAUCACUUUGAUAGAGUGUCUAAUAGGGGUUAAAGUCCCCUCAGUUCCUA